This 77-nucleotide microRNA precursor is filed under the name Rhodnius prolixus. The record is from RNAcentral. Lineage: Eukaryota; Metazoa; Arthropoda; Insecta; Hemiptera; Reduviidae.
UCUGCUUUCGAUGGGUAUGAGUUUAGUCCAUGUCAUUAAAUUAACUCAUGACUAGAUCCAUACUCGUCCAAAGCGGU